Cyprinus carpio carpio is the source of this 395-nucleotide long non-coding RNA. NCBI's taxonomy places the organism in Eukaryota, Metazoa, Chordata, Actinopteri, Cypriniformes, Cyprinidae. The record is from Ensembl.
GCUCGAGCUGACAGGAUCAAUAUCAGACGGCACUUAGUAAAAACAAAGUACACAUGUAGUGUACGACCAUGUCCCGACUGUCUCCCUGUCAACAACGCCGGCUGUUGAGAACACACUCAGGACGCGCUCAGGACAGUUCGUACAUUGUGUGAAUCAGAGCACUUAAACCAGCCGGAGAGUCGAGCGUGAAGAGAAAGCAGGAGAUUUAGCCGGAGUUCAGGUCACAGCAAGGAGUGAGAAGAGGAUAAAAGACUACGGAACAAAGUGUGUGUCUGCAAACAGCUCUACAUUUCCUCCACAAACUUAAACGGCUGCCCAGAUGCGGAUUUUAAAGAGAUGCUGAAGCUUUCGAAAAAAGACCAAAUUGCUAAAUUUAUGUUUGCAGAAGUGUUACC